ACACGGCGGGUGCUAACGUCCGUCGUGAAGAGGGAAACAACCCAGACCGCCAGCUAAGGUCCCAAAGUCAUGGUUAAGUGGGAAACGAUGUGGGAAGGCCCAGACAGCCAGGAUGUUGGCUUAGAAGCAGCCAUCAUUUAAAGAAAGCGUAAUAGCUCACUGGUCGAGUCGGCCUGCGCGGAAGAUGUAACGGGGCUAAACCAUGCACCGAAGCUGCGGCAGCGACACUAUGUGUUGUUGGGUAGGGGAGCG
This 252-nucleotide ribosomal RNA is filed under the name Escherichia coli. Its description in RNAcentral is "partial 23S ribosomal RNA". It matches the Rfam family "Bacterial large subunit ribosomal RNA", at positions 984 to 1238 of the family's 2925-position model. The record is from RNAcentral. Lineage: Bacteria; Pseudomonadati; Pseudomonadota; Gammaproteobacteria; Enterobacterales; Enterobacteriaceae.